RNAcentral lists this long non-coding RNA (1192 nucleotides) under Ailuropoda melanoleuca (giant panda). RNAcentral's name for it is "lncRNA (ENSAMEG00000029484.1)". Lineage: Eukaryota; Metazoa; Chordata; Mammalia; Carnivora; Ursidae. The record is from RNAcentral.
GACCGGCUGCAGAUGAAGUGGAGUGGGUCGGAGGGGAGCAGCCUCGGGUACCUGCUGCAGGUGAAGCCCAUGGCAGGUUUCCGUUAUGCCCCCUCCGAGGCGAGCGCUGCUGGCUCCGCCGGGCGGUGCCUACACGACACCAUCCACUCGCCUCUCUCACCCGUCACUGCGGAUGCACCUUCUAGGGAACACAUGAUCAGUGGUGUUUUUGUCCAACGUGAAUAUCUUUGCUUUUUAACAGAAACAUUUUUAUCCAUUUACAUUUAAAGAAAUUGCUGACAUAUUUGGGUUUAAAUCUAUCAUUUUCCUAUUUGUUUUCUUUUUGUUAUACUUGUUGUAAUAUUUUUCUCUCCUUGUCCUCUUUGAAACUCAAUUUUUAUGGAAAAAUUCAAAUAAGAGAGCACAGUGUAAUGAAGCUUCAUGUUCCCAUGAUGAAGCUUUGACAGUUAUCAACAUAUGACCAGUGUUGUGUGAUCUCUCUCUCCAAUCCCUUCUAUCUAUUGCAUUAUUUUAAAAACAAAUCCAGGACAUCAUAUAAUCAUAUAAUUCUGUCUAUAAAUAUUUUAGUAGUUUUCUCUAAAAGGAAGCACUCAGAAAUAACUCCAGUACCACUAGCAUGCCUAAAAAGUGAAAAUAUUUCAGAGCUACCAUUAGAUAUUUUGUUGUGUUCUCAUCUUCCAACUUGUCUGAUAAAUAUUUUUUACACUUAAUUUCUUUGAAUUAGGAUCCCAACAGGAUCCACACACUUUAUGUGGUUCCUAGGUCUCAAGUAAUCUUCAAUUUACUUUUUUUUUAAAGAUUUUAUUUAUUUGAGAGAGAGAGCGAGCACAAGCAGGGAGAGCAGCAGGCAGAGGGAUAAGCAGGCUCCCCACUGAGCAUGGAGCCCAAUGCAGGACUUGAUCCCAGGACCCUGAGGUUAUGACCCGAGCCGAAGGCAGAUGCUUCACCAACCGAGCCACCCAGGUGCCCCAGUAAUCUCAAAUUUAGAACAGCUUCGUCUUUCCCCUUUUCUUUAAUGUUUAUUGUUGAAGAAAGAAGAUUGUUGGUCUUGUGGAACAUCUGACAUUCUGUGUUUUGCUGAUGGUGUCACCAUGGUGCCACGUAGACCUUUCCUCUCCCCGUGUCUCCUGUAGAUUGGCACUUCCAUCCCAGAAGCUAGUCAGAUUCCGGUUUGGUUAUGGUUUGUUGGCAA